This 744-nucleotide ribosomal RNA is filed under the name uncultured bacterium. RNAcentral describes it as "bacterial SSU rRNA". It matches the Rfam family "Bacterial small subunit ribosomal RNA", at positions 8 to 796 of the family's 1533-position model. The record is from RNAcentral.
AGAGUUUGAUCCUGGCUCAGAGCGAACGCUGGCGGCAGGCUUAACACAUGCAAGUCGAGCGGGCGUAGCAAUACGUCAGCGGCAGACGGGUGAGUAACGCGUGGGAACAUACCUUUUGGUUCGGAACAACACAGGGAAACUUGUGCUAAUACCGGAUAAGCCCNNNNNNGGAAAGAUUUAUCGCCGAAAGAUUGGCCCGCGUCUGAUUAGCUAGUUGGUGAGGUAACGGCUCACCAAGGCGACGAUCAGUAGCUGGUCUGAGAGGAUGAUCAGCCACAUUGGGACUGAGACACGGCCCAAACUCCUACGGGAGGCAGCAGUGGGGAAUAUUGGACAAUGGGCGCAAGCCUGAUCCAGCCAUGCCGCGUGAGUGAUGAAGGCCCUAGGGUUGUAAAGCUCUUUUGUGCGGGAAGAUAAUGACGGUACCGCAAGAAUAAGCCCCGGCUAACUUCGUGCCAGCAGCCGCGGUAAUACGAAGGGGGCUAGCGUUGCUCGGAAUCACUGGGCGUAAAGGGUGCGUAGGCGGGUCUUUAAGUCAGGGGUGAAAUCCUGGAGCUCAACUCCAGAACUGCCUUUGAUACUGAAGAUCUUGAGUUCGGGAGAGGUGAGUGGAACUGCGAGUGUAGAGGUGAAAUUCGUAGAUAUUCGCAAGAACACCAGUGGCGAAGGCGGCUCACUGGCCCGAUACUGACGCUGAGGCACGAAAGCGUGGGGAGCAAACAGGAUUAGAUACCCUAGUAGUCC